RNAcentral lists this ribosomal RNA (253 nucleotides) under uncultured bacterium. RNAcentral's name for it is "partial 16S ribosomal RNA". It matches the Rfam family "Bacterial small subunit ribosomal RNA", at positions 524 to 776 of the family's 1533-position model. The record is from RNAcentral.
UACGAGGGGGGCGAGCGUUGUUCGGAAUUAUUGGGCGUAAAGGGUGCGUAGGCGGUUCCGCAAGUCCUGUGUGAAAUCUUCGGGCUCAACUCGAAGUCUGCACGGGAAACUGCUGGGCUUGAGUGUGGGAGAGGUGAGUGGAAUUCCCGGUGUAGCGGUGAAAUGCGUAGAUAUCGGGAGGAAUACCUAUGGCGAAAGCAGGUUUCUGGGCCAUCACUGACGCUGAGCUGCGAAAGCUAGGGGAGCAAACAGG